CGUGGGAGAGAAGAUGGAGCAGAUUCCCCAAAGUGGUGUGGAAAUUCACCUGUGACUGUGGCUAACUGGCACACAUUCAACCUCAAAGAGUGGAUGUUUAGAAACAAUAUGGAAGGCAUUCAUCUAAAGGGAAGAAAGGAGAAGGGAAGGGGAGUUGAAAUUACAGGGAAGUAUGUCAGAUGCUCAGUAGUAAAUGUAAUGGAGAUAGGGCAAACCAGUUUGAUCCAUGCAGACAUUAGUUACUGUGGGAAUACUGCGGAAAACUGUGAAGAAAC
RNAcentral lists this long non-coding RNA (275 nucleotides) under Coturnix japonica (Japanese quail). RNAcentral describes it as "lncRNA (ENSCJPG00005000466.1)". The record is from RNAcentral. Lineage: Eukaryota; Metazoa; Chordata; Aves; Galliformes; Phasianidae.